This 436-nucleotide ribosomal RNA is filed under the name uncultured bacterium. RNAcentral's name for it is "bacterial SSU rRNA". It matches the Rfam family "Bacterial small subunit ribosomal RNA", at positions 28 to 484 of the family's 1533-position model. The record is from RNAcentral.
GACGAACGCUGGCGGCGUGCUUAACACAUGCAAGUCGAGCGGUAAGGCCCUUUCGGGGGUACACGAGCGGCGAACGGGUGAGUAACACGUGGGUGACCUGCCCUUAGCUCUGGGAUAAGCCUGGGAAACUGGGUCUAAUACCGGAUAUGACCUCAUGACUCAUGUUGUGGGGUGGAAAGCCUUGUGCGGCUAGGGAUGGGCCCGCGGUCUAUCAGCUUGUUGGUGGGGUAAUUGCCUACCAAGGCGACGACGGGUAGCCGGCCUGAGAGGGCGACCGGCCACACUGGGACUGAGACACGGCCCAGACUCCUACGGGAGGCAGCAGUGGGGAAUCUUGCGCAAUGGGCGAAAGCCUGACGCAGCGACGCCGCGUGAGGGAUGACGGCCUGGUGUAACUCUUCUANCCUCGACGAGACGAAGUAGACGGUAGGGCGAG